This 425-nucleotide ribosomal RNA is filed under the name uncultured bacterium. Its description in RNAcentral is "partial 16S ribosomal RNA". It matches the Rfam family "Bacterial small subunit ribosomal RNA", at positions 354 to 796 of the family's 1533-position model. The record is from RNAcentral.
GUCGGGAAUUUUGGGCAAUGGGCGAAAGCCUGACCCAGCAACGCCGCGUGAAGGAUGAAGUAUUUCGGUAUGUAAACUUCGUAAGAAUAGGAAGAAUAAAUGACGGUACUAUUUGUAAGGUCCGGCUAACUACGUGCCAGCAGCCGCGGUAAUACGUAGGGACCAAGCGUUGUUCGGAUUUACUGGGCGUAAAGGGCGCGUAGGCGGCGUGGUAAGUCAGCUGUGAAAUCUCCGAGCUUAACUCGGAACGGUCAGCUGAUACUGCUGUGCUAGAGUACAGAAAGGGCAAUCGGAAUUCUUGGUGUAGCGGUGAAAUGCGUAGAUAUCAAGAGGAACACCUGAGGCGAAGGCGGGUUGCUAGGCUGAUACUGACGCUGAGGCGCGAAAGCUAGGGUAGCAAACAGGAUUAGAUACCCGGGUAGUCC